Molecule: transfer RNA, 76 nt
Filed under: Schistocerca americana (American grasshopper)
Lineage: Eukaryota; Metazoa; Arthropoda; Insecta; Orthoptera; Acrididae
Also listed under: 1 other name
Description: tRNA-Pro
Rfam family: tRNA
About the family: Transfer RNA (tRNA) molecules are approximately 80 nucleotides in length.
Source: RNAcentral
UGCUUCGGUAGCUCAGUUGGUUAGAGCACUUGCCCGCGGAAGGCAAAGGUCCCGAGUUCGAGUCUCGGUCGGGCAC